This 735-nucleotide ribosomal RNA is filed under the name uncultured bacterium. Its description in RNAcentral is "bacterial SSU rRNA". It matches the Rfam family "Bacterial small subunit ribosomal RNA", at positions 771 to 1501 of the family's 1533-position model. The record is from RNAcentral.
AACAGGAUUAGAUACCCUGGUAGUCCCACGCCCGUAAACGAUGUCCGACCAGCCCGUUGGGUGGCCUAGCCGCACUUUGUGGCGAAGUUAACGCGAUAAGUCGACCGCCUGGGGAGUACGGCCGCAAGGUUAAAACUCAAAUGAAUUGACGGGGGCCCGCACAAGCGGUGGAGCAUGUGGUUUAAUUCGAUGCAACGCGAAGAACCUUACCUACUCUUGACAUCCUGCGAACUUGUGAGAGAUCACUUGGUGCCUUCGGGAACGCAGAGACAGGUGCUGCAUGGCUGUCGUCAGCUCGUGUUGUGAAAUGUUGGGUUAAGUCCCGUAACGAGCGCAACCCUUGUCCUUAUUUGCCAGCACGUAAUGGUGGGAACUCUAAGGAGACUGCCGGUGACAAACCGGAGGAAGGUGGGGACGACGUCAAGUCAUCAUGGCCCUUACGAGUAGGGCUACACACGUGCUACAAUGGCCGGUACAAAGGGUUGCCAACUCGCGAGAGUGAGCUAAUCCCGAAAAGCCGGUCUCAGUCCGGAUCGGAGUCUGCAACUCGACUCCGUGAAGUCGGAAUCGCUAGUAAUCGUGAAUCAGAAUGUCACGGUGAAUACGUUCCCGGGCCUUGUACACACCGCCCGUCACACCAUGGGAGUGGACUGCACCAGAAGUGGUUAGCCUAACGCAAGAGGGCGAUCACCACGGUGUGGUUCAUGACUGGGGUGAAGUCGUAACAAGGUAACC